UACGUAGGGUGCAGGCGUUAAUCGGAAUUACUGGGCGUAAAGCGUGCGCAGGCGGCUCCUUAAGUCAGAUGUGAAAGCCCCGGGCUUAACCUGGGAACUGCGUUUGAAACUGGGGAGCUAGAGUGUAGAAGAGGGGGGUGGAAUUCCAGGUGUAGCAGUGAAAUGCGUAGAGAUCUGGAGGAACACCGAUGGCGCAGGCAGCCCCCUGGGCUAACACUGACGCUCAUGCACGAAAGCGUGGGGAGCAAACAGG
This 253-nucleotide ribosomal RNA is filed under the name uncultured bacterium. Its description in RNAcentral is "partial 16S ribosomal RNA". It matches the Rfam family "Bacterial small subunit ribosomal RNA", at positions 524 to 776 of the family's 1533-position model. The record is from RNAcentral.